CAGAUUGUCGAUUGUGUGAUUCUUCUUCUCCAACAAAGCAGCCAUUGCUACAACAUAUAUGCUAGUCUUGUAUUCACUGGCGCUGGCAAUGGCCUCAGAGUCGGUCAUUUCUGCCAAGGCCGGCGGAUGAACUACCCGAGAAUUAUUCCUCGAAAAAUUUCAAGAAACAGACUUUCUUUUACCCUUUCAUCUGCUUCACAAUAUCUCAAUUGGAAAAUUUAAGGAUACAGAUAAGCAGCGUAAUGGGAUUAUUUUGGAGCCUGAUUGACAUGAGUGUGGAUUUGAACGGGGGAUUACAUGCUGUAAUCAAAGAGAGUAUUGGUCCUAUUGGAUGCUAUGCAUCGUGGUUGAUGGCUGGUAGUAUGCGUGAAAAAUUACAGACACCAAUUGUUCGACUAAAUGCCUGAGAUGUACAAUAACUGGAAAUGUCAACAACGAGUCUUAUUCAAUAGGUUAUCGAUUAUGAUGAACAGGGUCGAAACGUGCAUUUUAAAGAACUAUUGAAUUCCUCAAUCCAAUUUUACAGUUGACUGCUUAUUUUCUUCCCAGUGCUUUCUAUUUGGCAAAAUGAAGAAAGGAAAACAUUUCGAGCACUCCAAACAUUUAGUAUCAGAACAACAGAAAACAGAACAAGAGGAACAAAAGAAUAUAUGCAUAUAUACACAAAACUACCAUACCAAAAAAUGAGAAGCAUUUUAUCAGACAACUCUUGGCUUGGAAGAGGAUGUCAGAUUAAAAACUUAGACAACAUAAUCCCUCCUGAUGCUACAAUCAAUUACACUCCAUCAUACUCCAAAAUUCAGACAAUCCUUUAAUGAUUUUUUUUACUUGUAAAUUUUCCUCUGAAAAAAUGGUGGUGUUCUGAGAGAGAGAGGGAGGGAGGGAG
Molecule: long non-coding RNA, 886 nt
Organism: Coffea arabica (coffee)
Lineage: Eukaryota; Viridiplantae; Streptophyta; Magnoliopsida; Gentianales; Rubiaceae
Source: RefSeq, a predicted model, not a curated record